This 491-nucleotide ribosomal RNA is filed under the name uncultured bacterium. RNAcentral describes it as "bacterial SSU rRNA". It matches the Rfam family "Bacterial small subunit ribosomal RNA", at positions 33 to 507 of the family's 1533-position model. The record is from RNAcentral.
GACGACGCUGGCGGCGUGGAUUAGGCAUGCAAGUCGGACGGUAGGGCUUUAUCGUAAGAUAGAGUUUGAGAGUGGCGAACGGGUGAGUAACACGUAGGAAUCUACCCUUAAGACGGGGACAACCCAGGGAAACUUGGGCUAAUACCGGAUGAGAGUGCGAGAGAUUGCAUUUAAAAGGAUGGCGAAAGUUGUCGCUUAGGGAUGAGCCUGCGGUCUAUUAGUUAGUUGGUGAGGUAAGAGCUCACCAAGGCGAUGAUAGAUAGGCGGCCUUAACGGGUGGUCGCCCACACUGGGAUUGAGAUACGGUCCAGACUCCUACGGGAGGCAGCAGUAGGGAAUAUUGGACAAUGGGCGCAAGCCUGAUCCAGCCAUGCCGCGUGAGUGAAGAAGGCCCUCGGGUUGUAAAGCUCUUUUGUUGGGGAAGAAAAGCAGUUGGUUAAUACCCGAUUGUUCUGACGGUACCCAAAGAAUAAGCACCGGCUAACUUCGUG